UCUCAAACGGUUGACCUCAAACACUC
Molecule: non-coding RNA, 26 nt
Filed under: Rattus norvegicus (Norway rat)
Lineage: Eukaryota; Metazoa; Chordata; Mammalia; Rodentia; Muridae
Source: RNAcentral